CUAUUUUGUUGGUUUUCGGAAUCCAAGGUAAUGAUCAAUAAGGACAGGCGGGGGCAUUCGUAUUGCGACGUUAGAGGUGAAAUUCUUGGAUCGUCGCAAGACGCACUAGAGCGAAAGCAUUUGCCAAGUAUGUCUUAAUUGAUCAAGAACGAAAGUUAGAGGUGCGAAGGCGAUCAGAUACCGCCCUAGUUCUAACCAUAAACGAUGCCAGCCAGCGAUCCGCCGACGUUCCUCCGAUGACUCGGCGGGGAGCUUUCCCCGGGAAACCAAAAGCUUUUGGGUUCCGGGGGAAGUAUGGUUGCAAAGCUGAAACUUAAAGGAAUUGACGGAAGGGCACCACCAGGAGUGGGGCCUGCGGCUUAAUUUGACUCAACACGGGAAACCUCACCA
RNAcentral lists this ribosomal RNA (390 nucleotides) under Holhymenia sp. CMF 0051. RNAcentral describes it as "SSU rRNA". It matches the Rfam family "Eukaryotic small subunit ribosomal RNA", at positions 836 to 1220 of the family's 1831-position model. The record is from RNAcentral. Lineage: Eukaryota; Metazoa; Arthropoda; Insecta; Hemiptera; Coreidae.